UCGCUUUGGCAGCAUAUACACUAAAACUGGAACAAUGCAGAGAAGAUUGGCAUGGCUUCUGCGCAAGAACGACAUGCAGAUUUGUGAAGCGUUUUUAUAUUUU
This is a small nuclear RNA of Molossus molossus (Pallas's mastiff bat), 103 nucleotides long. The record is from RefSeq and is a predicted model, not a curated record. Lineage: Eukaryota; Metazoa; Chordata; Mammalia; Chiroptera; Molossidae.